GGUGUUGCCCCAUCUGGUUGUGCUGGGCAACGUUAUAGCGUUGUUUUUUAAGGCUCUGCUAAGGGCGUAGGUCGUCUAAACAACGGCGCGAGGGUUCAAAUCCCUCCUACUCCGCCA
RNAcentral lists this transfer RNA (117 nucleotides) under Caudoviricetes sp. Its description in RNAcentral is "tRNA-Leu". The record is from RNAcentral. Lineage: Duplodnaviria; Heunggongvirae; Uroviricota; Caudoviricetes.